GGGGCUCCCGUGUGUCCAUGUCUCUGUGACCGCACGCGGCUUUUUGCGGUUGCUGGUGGCCACGUUAGCGCUGCUUCUCUCUGUGUUCCAGGGAAACUCCAACAACAUAGCCACGGUGGACAUCUCAGCGGGCUUCGUGGGCCUGGACACCUACAUGGAAGUCCCAGCUGUGUUCCUGACAGCGUUCGCCACGUUUGCGGGGCCUGUGCUGUGGGCCAGCCACUUAGUGAGCUUCCUGAGCUCAGAAACCAGCAGCGGCUCUGCGCUGAGUCAUGCUUGCUUCUGCUAUGCACUGAUGUGUUCUUUCCCCGUCUCUGCAUAUAUCGUUCUGGUGACAUCGCUGCGCUACCAUUUAUUUAUCUGGAGUGUGUUUUCUCCGAAACUUCUUUAUGAGGGAAUGCACAUCCUCAUCACGGCCGCCAUCUGUGUGUUCUUCACAGCCAUGGAUCAAACCAACACGCAGUCGUAGACACGGGGAAGACAAUGUAUUUUUAAAGUCCACUAUUCACUUCAUGCAUUUGGGUAAUGAAAAAAAUCUGUCUAAAUCUGAGAACUUUCUAGAGAAAAUUGUGAAUGCUACAAAGUUGGUGAAUAGCUUCAGUCUCUCUCUGCUGUACUUGAAUAUAGAUUAAAUAGUAGUUUAAAAGGUCAUUUUAAAAUAUUUAGUUUGAAUAUGAAUCAUACUCCCCUGUUGACAAUCACUCCGUAAAGUUCUGAAUUUUUGAUUUCCUCUGGAUAAGAGUUCACUCAAAUAUGUGUGUUUAAAUUGAUGAACAAAAAGGUCUCAAGUUUACCGUGGUGUUUGCGGACUUAGAGAGCACGGGAACUCUGGGAGAAGAGUUACCUGCCGCCGGGGUUUACCUUGCAGAGUCCAGACCCCUCGAUGACCCUAGAAACCACUGGAGGUCCCAACGAAAGUUAGUGUGUGUUACGUCUUCAACGUUAAGACAUUUCAAAAACUGUUCAUUGAAAGUAAAGAUAUAAACUCAUUCCAUCUUAACAUAGAAUAUUUUUAAGAAAAAUACCUUUCCAAAACAAGAAUAUGUACUGAGGAGAGUUGCGUUGUUUUAUGUUUUGCACAUCUCCUCGGCUAGGUUAGAGUCCGCGCUCUGCCUGUUGUCAUGUGUGUCUGGUUGGAGUAGUCACACAGAUACAUAGUUGGGAAAGGGAGGAAUAUUUUUUUAUUUAAAUUCAAUUAAUUAGCAGUGUGUUAUUAGUUUCAGAGGUGAGUGAUGAAUCAGUCUUACACAACACCCAGAGCUCAUUACAUCACGUGCCCUCCUUAAUGCCCAUCCUCCAGUUACCCAUCCCCCACCCACUCCCCUCCAGCAACCCUCAGUUUGUUUCCUAUGGUUAGGAGUCUCUUAUGUUUGUCUCCGUCUCUGAUGAAAGGGAAGAGUAUUUUAAAACCCUUCUUCUAAUCACCGUGGAUGUUCUUUUUGAGACUAUACUAAAGCAGGACAAACGAUAUUUCCUUAACGGUUAGCUGGAGAAAAAACAAGUGCGUGCAAAGUAGGUGAAGCCGUGUCUGCACCUGAGGGUGACAGGGUCACCUGGUUGACAGGUUCUCGGUCUGUGUAAGAUGUCGUUGGGGGGAGCUGGGUGGACUGUACGUGGAGCUUUCUGUAUGAUUUUUGCAACUUGUUAGAUUUAAACUAUUUGAAAAUAAAAGUUAUUUUAAAAAGGAAAA
Molecule: long non-coding RNA, 1690 nt
Organism: Ailuropoda melanoleuca (giant panda)
Lineage: Eukaryota; Metazoa; Chordata; Mammalia; Carnivora; Ursidae
Exons: 2
Source: RefSeq, a predicted model, not a curated record